RNAcentral lists this unclassified non-coding RNA (4898 nucleotides) under Leishmania donovani. RNAcentral describes it as "gene:LdHU3.30.4920(CDS-product:CYC2-like_protein_ putative)". The record is from RNAcentral. Lineage: Eukaryota; Euglenozoa; Kinetoplastea; Trypanosomatida; Trypanosomatidae.
ACUUAAACGCGGUACAAAGAAAACAACAUCACCAACGAAACGCCUACACGCAUUCAAAAGGAAGAGUGCAUCGGGGCCCGUGUGCUGUUUUUUUUUUUUUCUCGGUGAAGACCGCAGUAGCGCACGAGUACACUCAUAUUCGAUCACGCAGUACUUUGGAUCCUCAUUAGUUGACAGGGAAACCAUUGUGUUCAGCAUAGCCAUGCCUUUGCGAGCUUGUGUAUACAGGACGCCGGCGCAGGCCCGCUUGGUCGAGGUUGUCUCCGGUUAUGUCCAGCAUCUUAUGGAUGUGCAGGCAUCUAGGUGCACUGAGACCGCCCUUGACGGGCAUGUGGUCCCCCCGCCGAACGCAAAGUACCCUUCCCACGACUUCUUUUGUGCGACUCACGCGCCUGCGAUCUCGGUGAAGAGGUACACGGAGCGCCUAGUGACGUACAUGCACUGCUCGCCCGAAGCAUUUGUGUUUGCCGUCGCCUACCUGCGGCGGCUGGUGCUAAGCGGAUUCCCGGUGCAUAUGCGGUCUAUCCAUCGUCUGCUGUUAACAGCCGUCUUGGUGGCCCUCAAGUGUAGAGACGACGUGUACUACCACAUGAGCUUCUACGCUGAGGUUGGUGGCGUUACCUCGAAGGACUUGCGCAUAAUGGAGAUUCGGUUUCUCUCCGACCUUAUCCGCUUCGAAGGCGAGGUAUCUCUAGCAGAUUACCAUGUCGUCAUGGUGGACAUCAUGCGCGUGACGGAACGGCGCAUGAUAACGAAUAUUAACGGCAAGACGGAGUUGUGCAACCGAUGCGGCAUGUCUGCAGGCGCCUUCACCACCUCGACCCCAGGAGAUCUUGGCUGCCUACACUGCAAGGGUGACGCGUUCGCACAAUCGUGGACUAGCGAGUGCGAACUGUUUUGGGGGCCGCUAAAUUCUGCUUUCUCACUUCCCGCCGGAGAGGUCCGAAAGACACUUUCAUGCUAAACAAGGAAGAGAGAAGAGUGACGUCAAAGGCGACACAGUGAGGAGGCCUUUCUCACUCGGCUCCACCUCUGUCACUCUAGACGGCACUGACGUGAAUAUAUAUAUAUAUAUAUUCUUCUUUCAGCGUGUCCAUUCGCUCAUACAGCAUGCGCUCAGCUACGCUCUGCACCGGGCCUGUCACAGGCCUCAUCCGCGUGGCGCGAUGGCAGCCGCGGACACACGCAUUGCCGUCGUGCGCCGACUCCAGCCAUCUGAGCAUGGUCCCUGCAUCAAGCUCUGCACACCACCCGUUCCUCAGGGUCGCCUCAUAGCCGCUUACAUCAUGCCGGCCGCCACUUGCUGCAAGCCCCCCUGGGAGGCGGCACUCAGGCGCCCCACACCGCUGGGCAGUAAGAGUCUAGUGUGAGAUGCGCUCGAGUCACGCUGACGCUCUGCCUAAUCAUAUGAGUCGUACCAACGUGUUCGAUGUCGCAGGUGGCUCCGACGCAGCGCCAUGCAGGACCUGAACACCGACAUCAGCAGCGACACAUCGCUCUGAAUUCUCCACGUCGUGAGUACCUGACCCUUGUCGCCACCGGAAGAGGCUCGACAUUGGCAGGGCUAGGUGGGGGCUGCUUGCCCUUCUCCCACUGCAUGGUGGACUGGACCCUAGAAUGACACGCUAAGGUGUUUUCUCCGUCAUCAUGGGCUUCAGAGCGAAGGCGGGACAUGAAAAUGCGCACCGGCUUGCUCUUUUCUGAGCACCUGAUACCCUCUUUCUCGUAUGUGUCUGUGCAGUACUGCGACACGGAGACUUACGAAGCAGCCCGAAGGACACAGAGGAAUAAAAAACGAAAAAUUGAGUUCGUGAUAAUGGUGUAAAAACGACCCUUUUCUGCUCAUCUUCUUUUUUCGUUCUUUUCUUGUACCGCGGCAGGUGCACUUUGCCGGCCUUCGCCCCUCUGUGUUCUCCUCGUUAGAGAAAUUCGUCUCUGCCGUUCUCUUUUGUUUUCCCUUUUUAAUACCUUUUGAUCUAGCGCCGUGUUUUUCCGCCUCAUUACGUACUACACCGCGAAGGCUUCUCUUAGUUCGUAACACAUUUUUUUUCUUUUGCUCUUUUCUCUCUCUCUCGCUCCCAGGGACUCUUCUCUCGUAUUCGUAGUUCCCUCUUUGUUGGCUUACGUUUAAUGUACUCCUUUUCGAUCUCUCCCCUUCUUUAUAUUUUUUAAUGUGCUGUGUCCUGUUUUCAUCUCUAAUGACGCCGUUUACUCACCAUGGUAUCAGGGGUGGACCCACGCUCUGUGUGGGGAGGCCAAGAGCCUGCAGCCCGGCCGCCGGCACGGCUGCGGCCUCUUGGCGUCGGCGGACAGCGCUUGGCUGGCGCGGUGCCGAGGAGACGUGCGGCCAUGAUCGCGCUUGGACCAGCUCACGACGAGUCGCACCGACGGCUCACCACAUAUGCGCGCAGGCGCCCACCGCUUUUCUGCCUUUGCUGCCUUUGCUGCGUUGCGGUGGUGUGGAGCGUGAUCGCGGCAACGGCCCGCUCUGCAUGCACCGGAAUCGCAGUGGGCUGGACGACGCCACACGGCGUUGGUUGUCCCGGUUUCUUAAAAUAGCCGUAUCGCAACGGAGGCAGGUGGAAUGUGACUGUGCGCGUAUAUAUGUUUUGAUGUGGUCCUGGUAGAGCGAUGCGAAAGGAAGAAAAUAAACUGCUGCUCUCUGUUUUUUUUUUUUUCGAAACCUUAUAGCAAAUGCUGUUUGUGAGGUGAAUAACGAAAUACAUGUGGCCGACUGAUUGCCCCACGUGAGUGACACAUUCCGGCUGACGCGACUGUAACGAAAAUAAUUAGGUAGGCGUAGCUCUAAAGAAAGUAAAAGGGAUACCAAGAAAAAAAGAAACUUGUUGGAGCUCUUCGGUGGUAGCGGCGAUGAAAUCGCCGGCGUACGGCAGUGUAAUGUGCAUCGCAAUUCGUGGCAUUAGAUGCUUCCAUACAAGCAUUUGAUAUAAACGCGGGUAUGUUGGUGGCGAUUUAUCUCUUGAUUUCUUUUUCUUUCCUGUCUUUUGCACUGCCAUGCAGAGCUGGGUAAACGAGGCGACGUGGCAUCCUUGUGUGUCUUCGGCGCGCUCUGUCGUGUCACAGUCUCUCAGAGUACCCUGGAACGUGUUGCCAGUGAAGCCGCUGCUUUCCGCUCGCUGUGGCUGCCGCUCUUUUCUCCUUGCCCCUUAUUUAUUGGCCGUUUUUUUUUUGCUGCCAAAUCUUUAUUUUUCCCAUCUUUUUUAAUCGCUCUCUUUUCACUUUGCUCUGAGCUGCUACACCGAGGUUCCUUUCCCGUUUCGAGGACCACUUACUUCUGCAGCUCUUGGUUUAGAGCGCGCGUGUGCAAGAGGCCGGUAUGUGUGGUUUGCAUGGGCUGGCGGAAGUGUGGCAGCAUCGAUUCUUCCGUGUACGCGUGCCUACUUUUCUGUUUUUUUUUUCUUUUUUCUGCUCGGUGUCUCCCCUCUCCACCACUUUUCUUUUUUCCAUUUCACUAGGCGCCCAUUCUUUUUUGUUGUUCUUCAUCCUCUACCUCAUACGGCAAAGUCCAUGAUACUCCUCCAAGGUACACAAUAUACACCCAUUGUGUGGAUAUUUUUUCGCCGGCUUUUCUCCGUCUGAUUUUGUUUGUCACAGUUUCUUUUCCCUUUUUUAUGCGUACUUGUUUGCUACUCUUUUUUUUUGUUUUCGAACUGUAAUGUUAAUGUGAUCUCCUCUCCUCCCUUUUUCUUUGUGUGUUUAUUACCUUCUUGUAGCGGGCAGUCUUUGGUGUGCCUUUUUCUCUUCUUGUUUUAGUCGUGCAUCCGCUUUUCUCCCCGCUUACUUUUCCCGUGCUGCUGUACUCAUGCGACAGAGUUGUGUGCGUGUGUUUCUCUCGUUUUCUUUCGAUGCUGUUACUUAUUAUUUCUCAGUUACCUUCCCUCGUCUUCCGAACACACACGCACACUUUCGCAGUACUCUUGCUUUCGGUGCCCCUUGUACUUUUUCGCUGUUUUGCGCUCCCCUCAAUUUUUUCUUUUUGGCGGCCGUGACUCCCUCUUGUCUCCAUGUUCGCAAAGAAGACCAAAAGUGGCCUGGCGCUCUCUUGUGCUCUCUUUUUUCUCACUCUGUCAUACUCCGUCUUUCCGUUUGCCAUUCAACUCUCUCCCCUCUGACUGUCCCUCUUAUAUCAAAGGCGCCCCCAACACGGAAGUUACGCGACUCACUUUCAGGUGACUAUGUUUAAAGUCCCCACUACACUUUUCCUUUUUGAAAGACGAGAGAGGGGUCUUCGAAAAAGGUUGACGGCUCACCUCCGCUGGGCUUCAGUCUUCAUAUACGAGAACAAGCAAGGCAGAGGUGUGCUGCCCAUCCCUCCCCUCCUCUGCGUCCUUCUCGCCAUCUCUUUUUGUGCCUUUGUUUCUUGGCUGAUGUCUUGGCGCUUUGGCUUUUUUUACGCUUCCGCGGUGUCGUCGUGACUUCUGCCCGUGCUUUCAGCGCUUCAUCUCUCGCGUGGACCCACGAACGGGCUGUUGUUCUCGCUUGCCCUCUUUGAGGUUCUCGCGAGCGAUUAUCUCCUAAAGUGCCCACGCGCAUGCAAGCUAACGAAAAGAAAAUCGCGCAACAUCAAAUGACGCAGUGGUAGUGUGUCGCCACCGUUACCUACACCCCCUUCCCCCAUCGGCGGGGCAAAAUCUCUUCUAUAGCAAUGUAAGCCUCUUUUGACUAGUUGGUCCCGGUGUGACUGCGCCACAGCAGGGGGGGGGGUCGACCACUUCGAAAGGCGCGACGAAAAUCUCUGGAUUUUGUAACGCCGGCCUUUCCACUCCAUGACAGCUUCUUUCUCUCACGCCACUAUCUGCCGCUCGGCUUGUCCAUCUCUCUCCAAUCACAUACUUCUCUUUACCGCGCAUUCGCGCUACGGUGUGUCCGCGUGAAAG